AUGUCCAUGGUGUUUGGCGGCUCCAAGCUAAUGCUUGCGAUGGAGCCUGAGCGACGAGUAGGGAGCUCGCCAGGCACUCCUGCAAUGCUGUGUACAUCAAUGUAUAUUGUGUGUACACCAAUCCCUCUGCUGUUAGGUGCCUUCCUUCUCAGUGCUUCCUUGGACUGCAUCGCUGUCCUCUCACACCGAGGAGGGCUGCCGCUCACCUUCCUGCUCCUGGACUUCUUCCUGCCACACAAGCUGGCUGUCAGAGUGCCUAGAAGCUCAGAGAGUGGUGGGCCAGCUGCAGGGGUUCUAUUUUAUAGGGCCUGGAGCAAAGGCGGGGCAGUGGUGGCCACUGUGACCUCAGCAAGCCUCUGUGAUGGAGUGGCCCACACGUGGCCAAAGGUGGCUGUGUUGGGAGCAGCCUGGAAGAUGUCCUCACGUGGAAGAAGGCUUCUCUCCUUCCAAAGCGGAGAGCGGUGCAGUCCCUGCAAGCGUGGAGUCAGAGAGGAAGGAUGUACUCUGCACAGUGGGCAAGACUUUUUGAAGUAACCAGAACAGCAACAACAAAAUUAAUGAAGGAUUGCUCAGAAAAUUGCAGUCUUGACUGGGGCGAUAUGUGUCACUUGUACUCAUGGACAGAAAAAAAACAGAAAGAGAAAGAGGUAAAUUCUGCAGAUGAACCAGUACAAUGGCAAAUAAUGGAAGAAAAGAGAAGAGAAGCCACAGAACAGAGGCCAGUGCACAAUGUACAGGGUGAUGGAUACAGCAUCUGGUAUGAUCUCAGGAAAAACAAAAAUAAAUACCUAUAUAUAACACCCGAAGUAUUAGUG
This 815-nucleotide long non-coding RNA is filed under the name Anser cygnoides (Swan goose). Its description in RNAcentral is "lncRNA (ENSACDG00005005174.1)". The record is from RNAcentral. Lineage: Eukaryota; Metazoa; Chordata; Aves; Anseriformes; Anatidae.